GUGCCUGCAGCCGCGGUAAUACGUAGGGUGCAAGCGUUAUCCGGAAUCACUGGGCGUAAAGCGUGCGUAGGUGGGAAUUUAAGUGUGAUGUUAAAUCGUGUGGCUCAACCAUAUCGAUGCAUCGCAUACUGGGUUCCUAGAGGACGGCAGAGGCAAGUGGAAUUAGCAGUGUAGCAGUGAAAUGCGUAGAUAUUGCUAGGAACACCAAUGGCGAAGGCAGCUUGCUGGGCCACUCCUGACACUGAGGUACGAAAGCGUGGGGAGCGAACAGGAUUAGAAACCCCCGUAGUCC
RNAcentral lists this ribosomal RNA (292 nucleotides) under uncultured bacterium. Its description in RNAcentral is "partial 16S ribosomal RNA". It matches the Rfam family "Bacterial small subunit ribosomal RNA", at positions 505 to 796 of the family's 1533-position model. The record is from RNAcentral.